Long non-coding RNA from Brassica napus (rape), 1435 nucleotides. RefSeq lists it as uncharacterized. The record is from RefSeq and is a predicted model, not a curated record. Lineage: Eukaryota; Viridiplantae; Streptophyta; Magnoliopsida; Brassicales; Brassicaceae. The transcript is spliced from 2 exons.
CUGAAACAAACGGAGGAGAUUCUCGCAAGGAUACAACAUAGAGAAUAAGCUACCGUGAGAUGUGAACGAGCAAUGGCUUAUGCUUUCUUUCAUCAGGUUAAUGGAAAACUGAAGAUUCAUUUACAUUAAUUGGUUUGUAUGUUAGAUAACUUGUGGCUCAAGUAAAUUUGUGUUUUGCAGUGGAGAGCUAAUGCUUCACAUUAUCUAGGUCAAGCUUCCUUUAACUUAACUGAGGAUGGAGUUGCAAAGAAAGGGGACAUCCGCUCGACCUAGGGAGAGUAGCAGCUCCCUGUCAAGUAACUAAACCGAGUAAACCAUAUACAAAAUGUGAUCACAAGGAAGACUACUACUAAACCAGUUUUGCCAAACAGCAAAGAAGCUGCAAAAUUCAACAAAAUAAAAAAUUGGUUCCUGAUGAUUUUGAUUAGGGUUAUGAAAUAAAGAAAUAAAUAGUCUAUUUUUUUUGGAAAAAUUGCCAAAACGGAACAAAAAUUUAGUACUGUUGUCCCUUUGGUAUAAAAUCAUCAUUAAGUUGUUUCUAUGGUAUAAUAUUUUUCAUAAUCCCAAAAUUAACCUUGGGUUAAUAAAAUUAAACACAAUUUAAAAGUUAAAAUGAAUUUUAAAAAGUCUAAUAAAAAAUAAACAAACGUUUUAGAAAGACAAAAUAAAUUAAAAUAAAAAUAAAAGAAAAAGGCUCAAAAACCCGUAACCUAACUGUUUGUUUCUCCGCCUCUCUCUCUCUCUCUCUCUCUCUCUCUCUCUCUCUCUCUCUCUCUCUCUCUCUCUCUCUCUCUCUCUCUCUCUCUCUCUCUCUCUCUCUCUCUCUAUCUAGACGAACAAGAAGGAGAUUCUGUGUCUUCUCCGGUGAAAUCAACGGCGAGUCUACCAACCGAUGAAAUCGAGCUUUCCACCGUGGGUUUGAUCGAAUCUCUCCCCUUCGUCUUACUCCACUUCUCUCGCUCCACGAACAAGAAAGCAAUUUCAGAGCUUCUCUAGAUGAUUGGUGAAAUAUACUCUCUCUUCCGGCGGAAGCCCUUCAUCUUGUUCUCUCCGUCUCUCUCUUUCUCCGACAUCGCUAGCCGUGAGGGAGAUGAUUUUUGAACAGAUGCUUUAUCUUUGGAAGUGAUGUGGGCUGAUCAAGAUGCUAUUAGAGCUGGAGUUGGGAAGUAGCCGUGGAGAAGAAUCAGGCAGCUAGCACUUCCCACGGAUGAUCUGUUGCUCUGUACGAUCGCGGCGUUGGUAUAGGAAACUGAUCAUACAAAAAUACAGUAGUAUGGAGAAUAUUGCGGAAGAGAAUAAUAGCAUGGCUGGUCAGCUUGAUGUCUGGAAGCUUCUUGAUGAUGCGCAUCACUUUGUCGUGAGACUGUUUUUUUCCCACAAUUGUAUUAUGGAUAAUAUAAGUUCAAUUGUAGCUAUUCCAUUUCUCGCUUCCACA